UAUAUAAGCUAGGGUUAUUAUAUACUUUUAUGAGUAUAGAACCUUUCGUACUCAUAAGUUGUUUUCGAUGAUGGAGCUUCCAAAUCGAUGAUCAACUCUAUUAAAUAUGAUCUAGAGUAUUUGAGACUUGUAAAAAAUAAAUUUUGUAAUUUUUCGAAAUCAUAAUAAAGUCUAUCAAGCGGGUAUAAAUUGAACUUUUCGAAAUCAUAAAAAAGUCUAUCAAGCGGGUAUAAAAUGAACAGUCAAAAUCAAACGGCAUCCUAAAAAUGGAUGAUCUGAUUCUUCAAUUUAAGAUCAGAGUUUUUGAUCUUUAUCUGGAUAGUCAAUAGAAUUUUCUAUUAAAAAUUCAAUCUAUUACAAUUCUUUUACACCGUCAAACUAGUAAGCAUCCCGUACCGGCAUUAAAAAUUAUCAAUUUUGUGACAUUUUGAUCGUAGGGUAAAUGAUGUCGAAACAUUAUGAAAUUUGAUUUCUAAAAGUUUUAAAUGUUCUAGAUAAUAUUUAACGGUAUGGAUCAUCGAUUCGGAAGCUCUAUCAUCGAAAACGACUUAUGAGAACGAGGAUGAUCGUAUUCAUAAGAGUAUAGUAGACGGACUCUCUCUCUCUCUCUCCCUCUCUCUCUCUCUCUCUCUCUCUCUCUCUCUCUCUCUCUCUCUCUCUCUCUCUCUCUCUCUCUAUAUAUAUAUAUAUAUAUAUAUAUAUAUAUAUAUAUAAUACACACACACAGGCCUAUGUAUUAUGUACUUUGAUUAUAUGCACAUAGUGUUUAGGUUAUUGGACGAUAUUUGCUGGCCCAUAAGACUAAACUAGCAAAAUCCUACCUUAGUUACUCUAUCUCUCCCUCUCUUUUACUUGCUCUCUGAGUCGCUUCUCCUAAAUUUCUAAUCUCUCUCACCUCCUUCUACCUAAAAAUUCUAGUUUGAUAUGAUUUUAUUUUCAUAAUAAUAAAAAGGACAUUGGUUAUUUGAUUGAAAAAAUAUAUAAAUAUAUUCUUAUGGGAAAAAAAUUAUUAUGUUUAUCCAAAAUUUUGAUUUUAGUUAUAUAUGAUUGGAUAGUUUAGUCUAAUACUCAUUUAUAUAAUUUAUUUAUUUUUUGACUGUACAUAUGAAAAAAAAUAAUACGGAGAUUGAAGGUGAAAGAAAAGACAUGCAAGAUUGGAAGAAAAAUAUGAAUAGAUAUAUCAACUCAUAAAUUAUUUUUCUUAUUAUUAUAAUAUUGUAUUUUAUUUAUUUAUUUUGUAUGUUGAACUAUUAGACAUAUAUCAAAUUUUAGAUAAUGUUUCAUAAAAAUUAAGCUAUAGAUUAUAUGAUGUUAAGAAUUUCAAUUGG
This 1328-nucleotide long non-coding RNA is filed under the name Ananas comosus (pineapple). RNAcentral describes it as "long non-coding RNA (ACOM_LNC002233)". The record is from RNAcentral. Lineage: Eukaryota; Viridiplantae; Streptophyta; Magnoliopsida; Poales; Bromeliaceae.